Molecule: ribosomal RNA, 301 nt
Filed under: uncultured bacterium
Lineage: Bacteria
Description: partial 16S ribosomal RNA
Rfam family: Bacterial small subunit ribosomal RNA
Source: RNAcentral
CAGUAGCCACGGGAAUACGAAGGGGGCUAGCGUUGCUCGGAAUUACUGGGCGUAAAGGGUGCGUAGGCGGGUCUUUAAGUCAGGAGUGAAAUCCUGGAGCUCAACUCCAGAACUGCCUUUGAUACUGAAGAUCUUGAGUUCGGGAGAGGUGAGUGGAACUGCGAGUGUAGAGGUGAAAUUCGUAGAUAUUCGCAAGAACACCAGUGGCGAAGGCGGCUCACUGGCCCGAUACUGACGCUGAGGCACGAAAGCGUGGGGAGCAAACAGGAUUAGAUACCCCCGUAGUCCCUGUCUCUUAUAC